This 460-nucleotide ribosomal RNA is filed under the name uncultured bacterium. RNAcentral's name for it is "partial 16S ribosomal RNA". It matches the Rfam family "Bacterial small subunit ribosomal RNA", at positions 338 to 795 of the family's 1533-position model. The record is from RNAcentral.
CCUACGGGGGGCAGCAGUGAGGAAUAUUGGUCAAUGGACGAGAGUCUGAACCAGCCAAGUAGCGUGAAGGAUGACUGCCCUAUGGGUUGUAAACUUCUUUUAUAUGGGAAUAAAACGUUCCACGUGUGGGAUUUUGUAUGUACCAUAUGAAUAAGGAUCGGCUAACUCCGUGCCAGCAGCCGCGGUAAUACGGAGGAUCCGAGCGUUAUCCGGAUUUAUUGGGUUUAAAGGUAGCGUAGGUGGAUUGUUAAGUCAGUUGUGAAAGUUUGCGGCUCAACCGUAAAAUUGCAGGUGAAACUGGCAGUCUUGAGUACAGUAGAGGUAGGCGGAAUUCGUGGUGUAGCGGUGAAAUGCUUAGAUAUCACGAAGAACUCCGAUUGCGAAGGCAGUUCACUGGACUGCAACUGACACUGAGGCUCGAAAGUGUGGGUAUCAAACAGGAUUAGAUACCCUUGUAGUC